This 1307-nucleotide ribosomal RNA is filed under the name gamma proteobacterium AKB09. RNAcentral's name for it is "partial 16S ribosomal RNA". It matches the Rfam family "Bacterial small subunit ribosomal RNA", at positions 32 to 1147 of the family's 1533-position model. Lineage: Bacteria; Pseudomonadati; Pseudomonadota; Gammaproteobacteria. The record is from RNAcentral.
AACGCUGGGUGCUGGCUUAACAUAAGCAAGUCGAGUGGUAGNCCNAAAAAGCUCCGUCCCCAGCUGGCCAGUGGUGGACGGGCGAGCAAUAUGUGGGAAUUCGCCUCGCAGAGGGGGACAACUAUAGGAAACGGUCGCUAACACCGCAUAAUAUGAAAGUAUGAAAGGGAAGGGGGUUGUGAACUCGUGCUAUAGGAUGGGCCUUGGUGGUACCAGCUAGCCGGCGAGGCAAUGGCUUACCAAGGCGACGACGCGUAGCUGAUCUGAGAGGGUGAUCAGUUACACUGGGACUGAGAUAUGGUCCAGACUUCUAUGGGAGGCAGUAGCAGGGAAUAUUGCGUAAUGGAUGAAAGCCUGAUGCAGUAAUGCCGCGUGGAUGAAGAAGGCCUUCGGGUUGUAAAGUACUUUCAGCAGGGAAGAAUGAGCUAGUGUUAAUAUCGGUGGCAUUUGACGUUACUCACAGAAGAAGUACCGGCUNACUACGUGCCAGCAUUUGUGGUAACACGAAGGGNGCAAGCGCUAGUCGGAAUUACCNGUUGCAAAGCGUNCGCAGGCGGUUUGUUAANUCCGAUGUGAAAUNUUCGGGCUCAACCUCGGAAGUGCAUGUAGAACNGGCAANCCCGAGUCUUGUAGAGGGGGGUAGNAUUCCNAUGAAAAAAGCCGGGNUAUCNGUGCCACANCCGGGUAANGGGGGGGAGNUUUAUUGGAAUUUGGGNUUAAGGGCCCCAGNGUUUUUUAACGAAUUUUAAAGCCGGNNNCACNUGGAUUGUUUUUNAGAUUGGCCAAGUAANAGUUUUGUAAAGGGGGGUUAAAAUUCNANGGUGUUAGCGGUUAAUAUGAGUAAANUCUGNAGGAAAUNCCNGGNUGGCAAAGGCGGCCCCCCUGGNCGAANGANUGACGUUCAGGCNCAGAAAGCGUUGGGGAGCAAACNAGGAUUAGAAUCCCCUGGUAGUCCACNCCGUAAANGAUGUCUACUCGNAGUUUGGCGUNUAGAACGCUGGGCUCUCAAAGCUAACGCAUUAAGUAGACCGCUUGGGGAGUACGACNGCAAGGUUAAAACUCAAAUGAAUUGACGGGGGCCCGCACAAGCGGUGGAGCAUGUGGUUUAAUUCGAUGCAACGCGAAGAACCUUACCUACUCUUGACAUCCAGAGAAUUUUCCAGAGAUGGAUUAGUGCCUUCGGGAACUCUGAGGCAGGUGCUGCAUGGCUGUCGUCAGCUCGUGUUGUGAAAUGUUGGGUUAAGUCCCGCAACGAGCGCAACCCUUAUCCUUACUUGCCAGCGGGUGAUGCCGGGAACUGUAGGGAG